GCGGGAAUGGCGGAAUUGGCAGACGCGCUAGAUUCAGGUUCUAGUGAACAGUACGUUCAUGCAGGUUCAAGUCCUGUUUCCCGCACCA
Molecule: transfer RNA, 88 nt
Filed under: Clostridiales bacterium
Lineage: Bacteria; Bacillati; Bacillota; Clostridia; Eubacteriales
Description: tRNA-Leu
Rfam family: tRNA
About the family: Transfer RNA (tRNA) molecules are approximately 80 nucleotides in length. Their secondary structure includes four short double-helical elements and three loops (D, anti-codon, and T loops).
Source: RNAcentral